GACGAACGCUGGCGGCGUGCUUAACACAUGCAAUUCGAACGGUGAACCCCUUCGGGGGGGGUCAGUGGCGAACGGGUGAGUAACACGUGAGCAACCUGCCCCUGACUCUGGGAUAACCCCGGGAAACCGGAGCUAAUACCGGAUAUGACAUCUUCGGGCAUCCGAUGGGUGUGGAAAGAUUUAUCGGUUGGGGAUGGGCUCGCGGCCUAUCAGCUUGUUGGUGGGGUAAUGGCCUACCAAGGCGACGACGGGUAGCCGGCCUGAGAGGGCGACCGGCCACACUGGGACUGAGACACGGCCCAGACUCCUACGGGAGGCAGCAGUGGGGAAUAUUGCGCAAUGGGCGAAAGCCUGACGCAGCGACGCCGCGUGAGGGAUGAAGGCCUUCGGGUUGUAAACCUCUUUCAGCGCCGAAGAAGCGAAAGUGACGGUAGGCGCAGAAGAAGCACCGGCUAACUACGUGCCAGCAGCCGCGGUAAUACGUAGGGUGCGAGCGUUGUCCGGAAUUAUUGGGCGUAAAGAGCUUGUAGGCGGUUUGUCGCGUCUGCUGUGAAAUUUCGGGGCUCAACCCCGAACUUGCAGUGGGUACGGGCAGACUAGAGUGUGGUAGGGGAGACUGGAAUUCCUGGUGUAGCGGUGAAAUGCGCAGAUAUCAGGAGGAACACCGAUGGCGAAGGCAGGUCUACUGGGCCACUACUGACGCUGAGAAGCGAAAGCAUGGGUAGCGAACAGGAUUAGAUACCCUGGUAGUCCAUGCCGUAAACGUUGGGCGCUAGGUGUGGGGUCCAUUCCACGGGUUCCGUGCCGCAGCUAACGCAUCAAGCGCCCCGCCUGGGGAGUACGGCCGCAAGGCUAAA
RNAcentral lists this ribosomal RNA (857 nucleotides) under uncultured bacterium. Its description in RNAcentral is "bacterial SSU rRNA". It matches the Rfam family "Bacterial small subunit ribosomal RNA", at positions 28 to 898 of the family's 1533-position model. The record is from RNAcentral.